UAGGGAAUAUUGGGCAAUGGGCGAAAGCCUGACCCAGCCAUGCCGCGUGCAGGAUUGAAUGCUCUAUGAGUUGUAAACUGCUUUUGUCUGUGACGAACAAGCCUUUUUCUAGAGGCCCUGACGGUAACAGACGAAUAAGGACCGGCUAACUCCGUGCCAGCAGCCGCGGUAAUACGGAGGGUCCAAGCGUUAUCCGGAUUUACUGGGUUUAAAGGGUGCGUAGGUGGCUUGGUAAGUCAGUGGUGAAAUCCUACAGCUUAACUGUAGAACUGCCAUUGAAACUACCAGGCUUGAGUGUCGUUGAGGCGAGUGGAAUGUAACAUGUAGCGGUGAAAUGCUUAGAUAUGUUACAGAACACCAAUUGUGAAGACAGCUCGCUGGACGAUAACUGACACUGAGGCACGAAAGCGUGGGGAGCGAACAGG
This 425-nucleotide ribosomal RNA is filed under the name uncultured bacterium. RNAcentral's name for it is "partial 16S ribosomal RNA". It matches the Rfam family "Bacterial small subunit ribosomal RNA", at positions 355 to 776 of the family's 1533-position model. The record is from RNAcentral.